AUGCACAGCUUGAGAUUUACAACAAUUUAAAGCAAUAAUCAUAAUAACACAAGUGACUUAGUAGUGCAAUAUACUUGCACUUAAUCGGUGUCUUGCUUAUUGUUGCUCAGUUGCUUUAUUUGUGCGACAAAUUGCAUUUGGCAGCCACUUGACAACCACGGACAUUCGAACAGCUGUUCGCCAUUGUCAAAAUACAACACUACUUUGAUUUGUUGUCGCUUUGUCCAGGCUGUUUGUUUGCAUAAGUUAAACGUUUUGCUUAAAUUAGUAGCAAUUUUCAGUUAUUAACAUUAUAUUUUCUUGCAAUCUACUUUUUUUCUUCCUUUGUAGGAAUUGCCAGGAAUUGUGUGUGAAUUAAGAAAACUGUAGGCGUUUAUGACUGUGUAAAUAAUUUGAAAAUUGUGCUAUUUCUUUUCUUUGGAGAAUUUGCAUACACAAACGGAAGCAGAAAAACAUGUCGCAAAGUAAAUACUCAACCUACAGUGAUAAAAUGUCUCACAACAACUGCUGCACUGCCGCUGAUCCUGCGCGUCGGCGUUAAUUCCAACAAUUGUGCGUUGCCAACAAUGUAACCAGACUGUGUGGUUUCGUUUAAAAUCUUUUUAAUAAUGCACUUAAUUUAAAUAAAGUGUUAACGGCACAAAAUGAUAAUUUUUAUUAUUAUUUAAUUGCACGCUUGUAAAACAUUUAAGUAGCAUUUAAAAAGUCGCAAGGCGUUAACGACUUGUAAAACAAAUUGUGUUGCGCUUCUCUUAUUUUUAUUAUUUAUUUAUCUGUUUUUUUUUAUUUUUUAUUUUUUUUUUUUUUGUGUAAUAUUUAUGCUGCGCUUGUGACUUUACUUGUACAAGAAAUUUAUAUGCCGCCAAAAGCGAUUUAUUUAAACGUUUUCUUAUAUUAUUUAUUAUUAAACAAAUUCAACAUUUGUAAUGCCAAUAUUUGUAUAUUUGUGUGUAUGUGCGUAUGCACUUAGACUUGUUACUUUCACGCCUUGACACACGAUUUAGCACCGAUAAAGCCACACCACCCGCCGCGUCUGAUUGACUUACUGGCCGUCAAAUAUACAGAAAUAUGUUUGUAGUUGCAAGCGUUCAGCGCACAGAUUGAUCGAGUUUUGCGUGCGUAUGGACAGACAGCUCAACGCCAGGCGACGUUUACAGCUUUGUAAUGAGCUGCUGCUCGUGUCGUAAUGCGAUUUAUUUUUUUAUUUUUUUUUUAUUUUAUAAAAAUAAUUAAUUUUUUUUUUUGUAAUUUUUUCGAAUAAAUAAAUAAAGUUCGUAUUUUUCGUAAAACUCAGACGCGUGUGUGCGCGUUGAGUCGCGUUUACGUAUUAGUUGCGCGUAAGCUUGGCGGUUUAAAUUUACGUAUUAUUAUUAUUAUUUUUUGAGUUAAAAAUGUAUCACUGCAAACCGGCAUACGCUCACCGGCACGUCCAUCAUAUGACUGACCGUUUGCCAAUGUGCAACGCUAACGUUAAAUGAAAAUUUUCUUUUUGCACAAAAUCGAAUAUAUUUAAAAAAAAAAAGAAUUUUAUAAUAAGUAACGAUAAAACGCGCUCACAACACAGAUUGCUGAACCGAGUUUUCUUGACGCGCCUUUACUGUGUUGUGGCUGUUAACGUCGUUGCGCAUACUGACUGCUGCUCCUAAACGCUUUACUGCUGAUGUUGCUGUUGCUGAUAUUGGCACGACUGUGAUUUGUUGCUGUUGCUGCUGCUCGAUUUUCAAUUUCACACCAAGUAGCGCUGAGCAUUGCUGCCGCUCUAUAUAGCUGCGUACGUGUUAGUGAUUGAGUUGUUAUUAUUGUAUAUUCGUUACAUAGCGUUAGGGGAAGUAACGUUGGCGAUCACAAUCGCGAUCGCACGCAUACACACGUAAGCGCAUAACACAGGCGCAGAAGUGAGCAGCGCGCGUAGGUGUCACAAUAAUGCUUUCGCGCACACUCACACACAAAAAGCGGCGCACACAUUUUGUUUAACGCUGCAGCUAAAGUCGAUCGCGGCGCGAUUUAAAAUGUCGAGCAAAAGCGCUAUUGCUUACAGGCACACAGAGAUAAAUAUAUGUAUGUGUGUAUGUAUAUGCACGCAAAUUGGUUUAGCGCGCAGUUGUAUGUAGGGACAGACAUUCAGAGCGCUGCUUAAAGCGCCUUUGAAGAUUUCUAAAGCACAGCAGCAAAUAUCCGCGUAAUUGAGCAAAGCUCGAGCGCAACGCGCAUAUUUUGUUGUAAUAUUUUUCAAGCUUUUAUUAUAAUUUAUUUUAUUCUAUUCACUAAAUAAAUCAAAUUCGCUUUCGCAACACAAUAUGAGCGCACGUCGCUGACGUUCUACCACCCCCACCAGCCAUACGCCGGCGCUUUGUUGUUGCACAUCUAUAGACAAAUUAACAGGUAGUUGUUUACUUAGAUUAGUAAACGACUGUGUGUAUGCGUGUGUGUGUGUGUGUGUUUGUGUGUGAGUAAUCAGUGGUGACAAGCGCUGAAUUUUUUGACAUUUCUGCUGUCGUCUUCAAUUUCAAUUUUUAACUUUUAUUUAUUGCAUGCCAUAAAAUACGUUGUCAAACAUAUAUACAUACAAGUACAUACAUUUAUGUUAGAAAUAAAACGCUCCCCGAAAAUUCGUUGGCCAUAUAAAUACGCCUGUCGAAUUCAGCGUUGCUUACGCACCCACACAUACGCCGUCACAAACACAAUUACAAAACAGCAAGCGAAGAGCGCUUUUCGCGAUCGACUCGCAUAGGUUUGUAUGUAUGCACAUAUGUAUCGACACAUCGCUUAGUUUGUCAUACUAAAGCUAAAUAAAAUAAAUACAGAUUGUAAAAAUAACAUAUUUUUGCAAUGUAUAGAUAAAUUUUAGCUAAGCAAGUAGUAAGUAUCGUAUGCAUUUUUUUUUUUUGUUUUAUUAUAGUGUUCUCAAACGCAAAUAUUUUUAGACAGACAGUAAUCGGAGCAGUUACGUACUCCUUACAUUUUGCUACCUCACUAAUGAUGUGUAAAUAGCGGUAACGCUUUCUAAAGCUUACUAAAAACCGGUAACUCGCUAGUGAGUUCGUUUCAAAUGCAAAAUUAACACUUAUUAUAGUGCAAACUUUGAGUUAAAAAAUUUAAAAAUUCAAAGCAGUUUUUGUUUAAUCAGAAAGGAAUAGACUUAAGACCUAGAUUUUAUAUGUGCUUUGCUAGGCGAGCGUUUCGAAUUAAUUUACUAACUGAUUUUUUUUACAAUAGUUUUAGUAAACGCGUAUAAUGUGGCAGAGUGGCUGUUGUUAAAAAUAUGCUUUGCCUCAGUUACAUAAUUAGAUAGAUUAAACCCAACCUUUAUUCUUUUUCAUUAUUUUUAUGUUUAUUUCAAAGCAUCUUAUUUUAAAUGUAUCAAUAACUAAGCCCAACUACGUCCUACUUACCUGUUUACCAUUUUGUGCUGCUUCCAAUAAUUUCCGUUGUCGAAUUUUUUCAAUGUCAUACUUCACAAAGGGCGUUCGCGUACAAUUUCCUUGAAUUUCCUGAACUUUUCUAUAGCACAUUUUGCAUCCGUUUUUGCAACACAAUUAACGUACUGAUAUUCACACUAAAACCAUAACACGUUUUAAACAUAAAUAUUUGUACAUUUAAUGGCUAGUUACAGGCAAUUAAAUCACUUCUAUUAAAUUUAGUUUGAACUGUUGGCAGACUGAUAUUGACGUUCGAUUAACGGAAGUGCUUGUUGUGAAGUUUGUUUACUUGAGAAUGUUACGCCGUUGCUUGUUGUAAUAAUGACGGCGCGGCUUUACGCAAAGUUUUAAUGAUGCUUGUUAGUAGCGUAUAUUAUAGUUUUUCUCACAAAUACUUAAAAUUGUUUGUAUUAAUAAAUGUAAAACCGAUUACUCCAAUUUUUACACUCAAUAGUUAUACACUCAACAAACACGACGCUGUGAAGAGUGUACAUAUUGUAUUUUUGUAAAUAAGAGGAAAUCCAAAAGUGUUGAUUAUGACAAUAAAUAAUUUGUUGACGCUAAAAUAUACUACUUUAGAUGACAAUGCAGCAAAAAUGACAACAAAGCGAAAAUAGAUGAAUUUAAGUUACACCAAUACUCGUAAAUUAUUGUACAAUCGUAUAUGUAUACAAAUACAUAAGUAUAUGUAUAUUUAUAUGUAGUAUGCGCACGCACAUUCAUGUAAUAGCAAGCUGUAAGAGGUAGCGAAUCUGCAAAUAAGCAACACAAACAAACAGUAGCAAUGAAUUAAAUGUAUUAUCACCUUAACGAUGCGCCUGUUGCUGGCCGCAGAGGCUGCAGAGCAUACAAUGAGCUAACAGUUGGAGACUAACCGGCGCAUUUUUAGUGCGAUUUACGCAAAAAUUAAUAUUUUUUAGUCAUAAGUGAAAAUGAGUAGAGACUCAGAAAAUUUAAUAUUUAAACAUUUCUGUGCUUGUAAAAGAGAAAAAAGUGUAAACACAUAAUAAAAAUUUGUAAUCAAAAAGCAUAAAUAAAUAAAUAAAAUAUAAAACAAAAUAAAUGAAAAAUAAAACAAAAUAAAUAUAAAAUAAAACAAAGUAAAUAAAAAAUAAAAUAAAAUAUUAAACACUUUAAGUGAAAAAAAAUAUAAUGAAAAAUUUUAAGUUUAUAAAAAUAAAAUUUAAGUUUAAAUAUCAAAAAAAUAUAUAAAAAAUAAAAGAAAUAAAGUUUUAAAUAUAACGACUGAAAUCAAAGUCCUUACUACCAUAAAUAAUAUACAUAAAGUUGAAUUGUAUGCAUUUUCUUAGCAUAAAUCGAAAAUUGUAGUCAACCCUUAGUCAAAAAUAACAAUAUAUACAAACAUAAUUUAUUACCUUUACGUAAAGAAUUUAAAUAUAAAAAGGAAAGCAAAAGAAGAUAUGUAUCAUCACUUUCAACCAACUAACCGCGCCAAUAAAAUUGAUAAUUGACUUUAGAUAAAAUAAACACUUGAAGGCGCAGCUAAGGAGUUGGUUUUUUUACAUACAUACAUAUAUUGAAAUCUAUGGGCAACAGAUGGGCAUACAGAGAUAUCACCAUAAGCCGCUGGUCUUCAAGGGUGCCUGUGACGUACGCGUGUGCUAUAGGAGUGCUAGACUAGCCCUUGUGAAACACGAUGUAUCUCCACCUGUCAAAAUUUCUAAAUUUAUUUGCACUAGAUAUAUUUAAAUUGAUUUUAAUGGAUGACCGCCGAUCAAUCAGAUAGCGUAAAAAAUGUUAUUCCAAGUACCUGUGUGUCUGCUUUAAUUCCCCUCAAGAGCUAAAAAUUAAGUACACACUUAAGGCCUAGAUAGACAAGUGUAAAUGACACAUCAACAAGUGCGUAGGUAUUCAAAUUAAUGCGUAAUUUACAAGUAAACUUCCGCCGACAAAGAUUUUUAUUACAGAGAUGGCUAUUAAUUUAUUAUUACUAUAUUUUUAAAAUGC
Non-coding RNA from Bactrocera oleae (olive fruit fly), 5387 nucleotides. NCBI's taxonomy places the organism in Eukaryota, Metazoa, Arthropoda, Insecta, Diptera, Tephritidae. The record is from RefSeq and is a predicted model, not a curated record.